AGAAAAAAAAUCAUACGCCCCGAAAACGAAUGAACGGAGUAAAACUUAUUAACAUGUUUUAUGUUCUUUUCCAAUCUAAAUUCGAUUCAAUUGUUUUUUUAAGCUUUGCCAUUUCAGUCGUAUGCAUCUAUGGAGAAAAAUCCAAGAGUGCGGUAAAAAGUGGAGGACGUUAAACAUAUUACAUCAUUGAAUUAGAUUGGUUUUGAAUUCCACUGCAAUCCAUCAGAGACAUUAAAGAGAAUAUUUUGAAGCUAACUCAUGUACCGGAAAAAAAAAUGCAUGGAAGUUUUGAAUACCCAUUUCAUUAAUUUGUUGUUAAAGGAUGGCUAAUUUGUUUUUUCAAAAAUAUGGGUCAAAGAUUUAUUUUUUAAAAUUUCCUAUGGUUCAAACAUGGUUGUAACAUUUAUUUUCUUAAUGGCACAUUUAUCUUUUCAGUUUAUUAAGAGGGUUAUCAUAAAGGAAUGAGGUUACAAACACCACCACCGCUAGAUGUCUUUUGCUGAGAUGAGAUUGGGAUAGUCGGAUCACCUGUUUGUCUCCCAAAAUGUUAUCCGUCCGUUCAAGCUCAAAAACCCAUGCUGCUUUGUAUUGUAGAUGUUUUCCCUUUGUUUGUUAAGCUUCUGGGUGUUUCUCAAUAGCUCUUAGGGUUCCAAAAAUUAAUGGUGGUUUGUCUUUGUUCUCUUUGAUCAGAGAUAUGACGGGGUGCUGUCUUUUUGCUGAUGGCUGGUGUUGCAGUUAUAGUGGUGUUUUCGUUGUUGAAUUGGGGGUUCUUCUCAAUUUCUCAACUCUGUGCUUUGAUUGGUGGUUUCCCGACUGAAGAGUUUCUGGUUGUUGUCUCUGGCUUCAAGAGAUGGUUCCGAGGUCAUAGCGGUGCUACUACUGCGCUAGGGUUCCAGUUUCUUCUUGGGAUGGAUGUGGAUCGGGUCGUUGAUUUGGAUCAAUAGAUCUCUGAUUCUCUGGUUGUGUUGGCUUGCGGUUCGUAGUUUUUUGUUGGCGUGUUUCGUGUUUGUAAAUCGUAAAUGUUGUCUCCACUGGUUUUGUGGAAUCUGUUUUCAGAGUCGGUUCCAUAUGUAUCAGUUUGGUUGCUUUAGUUGUUUGCAAUAUGAAUACUAGUUGUCCCUUA
Papaver somniferum (opium poppy) is the source of this 1123-nucleotide long non-coding RNA. RefSeq lists it as uncharacterized. The transcript has 2 exons. The record is from RefSeq and is a predicted model, not a curated record. Lineage: Eukaryota; Viridiplantae; Streptophyta; Magnoliopsida; Ranunculales; Papaveraceae.